RNAcentral lists this ribosomal RNA (255 nucleotides) under uncultured bacterium. RNAcentral's name for it is "partial 16S ribosomal RNA". It matches the Rfam family "Bacterial small subunit ribosomal RNA", at positions 524 to 776 of the family's 1533-position model. The record is from RNAcentral.
UACGAAGGGGGCUAGCGUUGCUCGGAAUCACUGGGCGUAAAGGGUGCGUAGGCGGGUCUUUAAGUCAGGGGUGAAAUCCUGGAGCUCAACUCCAGAACUGCCUUUGAUACUGAAGAUCUUUGAGUCCGGGGAGAGGUGAGUGGAACUGCGAGUGUAGAGGUGAAAUUCGUAGAUAUUCGCAAGAACACCAGUGGCGAAGGCGGCUCACUGGCCCGGUACUGACGCUGAGGCACGAAAGCGUGGGGAGCAAACAGG